This 206-nucleotide ribosomal RNA is filed under the name uncultured bacterium. Its description in RNAcentral is "partial 16S ribosomal RNA". It matches the Rfam family "Bacterial small subunit ribosomal RNA", at positions 524 to 729 of the family's 1533-position model. The record is from RNAcentral.
UACGGAGGGUGCAAGCGUUAUCCGGAUUCACUGGGUUUAAAGGGUGCGUAGGAGGGCAGGUAAGUCAGUGGUGAAAUCUCCAAGCUUAACUUGGAACUGCCGUUGAUACUAUCUGUCUUGAAUACCGUGGAGGUGAGCGGAAUAUGUCAUGUAGCGGUGAAAUGCUUAGAUAUGACAUAGAACACCAAUUGCGAAGGCAGCUACAC